UACGUAGGGUGCGAGCGUUAAUCGGAAUUACUGGGCGUAAAGUGUGCGCAGGCGGCCGAGCAAGUCGAGUGUGAAAGCCCCGGGCUUAACCUGGGAACUGCGCUCGAAACUACUUGGCUUGAGUGUGGCAGAGGGAGGUGGAAUUCCACGUGUAGCGGUGAAAUGCGUAGAGAUGUGGAGGAACACCGAUGGCGAAGGCAGCCUCCUGGGCCAACACUGAUGCUCAUGCACGAAAGCGUGGGGAGCAAACAGG
RNAcentral lists this ribosomal RNA (253 nucleotides) under uncultured bacterium. RNAcentral's name for it is "partial 16S ribosomal RNA". It matches the Rfam family "Bacterial small subunit ribosomal RNA", at positions 524 to 776 of the family's 1533-position model. The record is from RNAcentral.